GUUAGGAAUAUUGGACAAUGGGCGCAAGCCUGAUCCAGCCAUGCCGCGUGAGUGAUGAAGGCCUUCGGGUUGUAAAGCUCUUUAGUCCACGAAUAUAAUGACUGUAGUGGAAGAAUAAGCCCCGGCUAACUUCGUGCCAGCAGCCGCGGUAAUACGAAGGGGGCGAGCGUUAUUCGGAAUCACUGGGCGUAAAGCGUGCGUAGGCUGUUUUGUAAGUCAGAAGUGAAAGCCCAGGGCUUAACCCUGGAAUUGCUUUUGAAACUACAAGACUCGAAUUCGGGAGAGGAUAGCGGAAUUGUCAGUGUAGCAGUGAAAUGCGUAGAUAUUGACAGGAACACCAGUGGCGCAAGCGGCUAUCUGGACCGAUAUUGACGCUGAGGCACGAAAGCGUGGGGAGCAAACAGGAUUAGAAACCCGAGUAGUCC
RNAcentral lists this ribosomal RNA (425 nucleotides) under uncultured bacterium. RNAcentral describes it as "bacterial SSU rRNA". It matches the Rfam family "Bacterial small subunit ribosomal RNA", at positions 354 to 796 of the family's 1533-position model. The record is from RNAcentral.